RNAcentral lists this ribosomal RNA (46 nucleotides) under fungal endophyte sp. AP214. Its description in RNAcentral is "partial 28S ribosomal RNA". The record is from RNAcentral. Lineage: Eukaryota; Fungi.
GGUUGACCUCGGAUCGGGUAGGGAUACCCGCUGAACUUAAGCAUAU